CAGGACGAACGCUGGCGGCGUGCCUAACACAUGCAAGUCGAACGGAGAUAUGAUUUCGGUUGUAUCUUAGUGGCGAACGGGUGAGUAACGCGUGAGCAACCUGACUCUUAGAGGGGGAUAACACUCGGAAACGGGUGCUAAUACCGCAUAAGACCACGACAUGGCAUCAUGACGAGGUCAAAGGAGCAAUCCGCUGAGAGAGGGGCUCGCGUCCCAUUAGAUAGAUGGCGGGGUAACGGCCCACCAUGUCAACGAUGGGUAGCCGAGCUGAGAGGCUGAUCGGCCACACUGGAACUGAGACACGGUCCAGACUCCUACGGGAGGCAGCAGUGGGGAAUAUUGGGCAAUGGGCGCAAGCCUGACCCAGCAACGCCGCGUGAGGGAAGAAGGCUUUCGGGUUGUAAACCUCUGUCCUUGGUGACGAAAAAAAUGACGGUAGCCAAGGAGGAAGCCCCGGCUAACUACGUGCCAGCAGCCGCGGUAAUACGUAGGGGGCGAGCGUUGUCCGGAAUUACUGGGCGUAAAGGGUGCGUAGGUGGCCUUUUAAGUUGGAUGUGAAAUACCCGGGCUUAACUUGGGGGGUGCAUCUAAUACUGGAGGGCUAGAGUGCAGGAGAGGAAAGCGGAAUUCCUAGUGUAGCGGUGA
This 645-nucleotide ribosomal RNA is filed under the name uncultured bacterium. RNAcentral describes it as "bacterial SSU rRNA". It matches the Rfam family "Bacterial small subunit ribosomal RNA", at positions 25 to 684 of the family's 1533-position model. The record is from RNAcentral.